Molecule: ribosomal RNA, 2922 nt
Filed under: Staphylococcus warneri
Lineage: Bacteria; Bacillati; Bacillota; Bacilli; Caryophanales; Staphylococcaceae
Description: 23S ribosomal RNA
Rfam family: Bacterial large subunit ribosomal RNA
Source: RNAcentral
GAUUAAGUUAUUAAGGGCGCACGGUGGAUGCCUUGGCACUAGAAGCCGAUGAAGGACGUUACUAACGACGAUAUGCUUUGGGGAGCUGUAAGUAAGCGUUGAUCCAGAGAUUUCCGAAUGGGGAAACCCAGCAUGAGUUAUGUCAUGUUAUCGAUAUGUGAAUACAUAGCAUAUCAGAAGGCAGACCCGGAGAACUGAAACAUCUUAGUACCCGGAGGAAGAGAAAGAAAAAUCGAUUCCCUGAGUAGCGGCGAGCGAAACGGGAAGAGCCCAAACCAACAAGCUUGCUUGUUGGGGUUGUAGGACACUCUAUACGGAGUUACAAAAGUAUAUAUUAGACGAAUCAUCUGGAAAGUUGAAUCAAAGAAGGUAAUAAUCCUGUAGUCGAAAAUAUAUGCUCUCUUGAGUGGAUCCUGAGUACGACGGAGCACGUGAAAUUCCGUCGGAAUCUGGGAGGACCAUCUCCUAAGGCUAAAUACUCUCUAGUGACCGAUAGUGAACCAGUACCGUGAGGGAAAGGUGAAAAGUACCCCGGAAGGGGAGUGAAAGAGAACUUGAAACCGUGUGCUUACAAGUAGUCAGAGCCCGUUAAUGGGUGAUGGCGUGCCUUUUGUAGAAUGAACCGGCGAGUUACGAUUUGAUGCAAGGUUAAGCAGCUAAUGUGGAGCCGUAGCGAAAGCGAGUCUGAAUAGGGCGUUUAGUAUUUGGUCGUAGACCCGAAACCAGGUGAUCUACCCUUGGUCAGGUUGAAGUUCAGGUAACACUGAAUGGAGGACCGAACCGACUUACGUUGAAAAGUGAGCGGAUGAACUGAGGGUAGCGGAGAAAUUCCAAUCGAACUUGGAGAUAGCUGGUUCUCUCCGAAAUAGCUUUAGGGCUAGCCUCAAGUGAUGAUUAUUGGAGGUAGAGCACUGUUUGGACGAGGGGCCCUUCUCGGGUUACCGAAUUCAGACAAACUCCGAAUGCCAAUUAAUUUAACUUGGGAGUCAGAACAUGGGUGAUAAGGUCCGUGUUCGAAAGGGAAACAGCCCAGACCACCAGCUAAGGUCCCAAAAUAUAUGUUAAGUGGAAAAGGAUGUGGCGUUGCCCAGACAACUAGGAUGUUGGCUUAGAAGCAGCCAUCAUUUAAAGAGUGCGUAAUAGCUCACUAGUCGAGUGACACUGCGCCGAAAAUGUACCGGGGCUAAACAUAUUACCGAAGCUGUGGAUUGUCCGUAGGACAAUGGUAGGAGAGCGUUCUAAGGGCGUCGAAGCAUGAUCGCAAGGACAUGUGGAGCGCUUAGAAGUGAGAAUGCCGGUGUGAGUAGCGAAAGACGGGUGAGAAUCCCGUCCACCGAUUGACUAAGGUUUCCAGAGGAAGGCUCGUCCGCUCUGGGUUAGUCGGGUCCUAAGCUGAGGCCGACAGGCGUAGGCGAUGGAUAACAGGUUGAUAUUCCUGUACCACCUAGUAUCGUUUUAAUCGAUGGGGGGACGCAGUAGGAUAGGCGAAGCGUGCUAUUGGAUUGCACGUCCAAGCAGUAAGACUGAGUGUUAGGCAAAUCCGGCACUCAUAAGGUCAAGCUGUGAUGGGGAGAGGAAAUUGUUUCCUCGAGUCGUUGAUUUCACACUGCCAAGAAAAGCCUCUAGAUAGAUAACAGGUGCCCGUACCGCAAACCGACACAGGUAGUCAAGAUGAGAAUUCUAAGGUGAGCGAGCGAACUCUCGUUAAGGAACUCGGCAAAAUGACCCCGUAACUUCGGGAGAAGGGGUGCUCUUUAGGGUUAACGCCCAGAAGAGCCGCAGUGAAUAGGCCCAAGCGACUGUUUAUCAAAAACACAGGUCUCUGCUAAACCGUAAGGUGAUGUAUAGGGGCUGACGCCUGCCCGGUGCUGGAAGGUUAAGAGGAGUAGUUAGCUUCUGCGAAGCUACGAAUCGAAGCCCCAGUAAACGGCGGCCGUAACUAUAACGGUCCUAAGGUAGCGAAAUUCCUUGUCGGGUAAGUUCCGACCCGCACGAAAGGCGUAACGAUUUGGGCACUGUCUCAACGAGAGACUCGGUGAAAUCAUAGUACCUGUGAAGAUGCAGGUUACCCGCGACAGGACGGAAAGACCCCGUGGAGCUUUACUGUAGCCUGAUAUUGAAAUUCGGCACAGCUUGUACAGGAUAGGUAGGAGCCUUUGAAACGUGAGCGCUAGCUUACGUGGAGGCAUUGGUGGGAUACUACCCUAGCUGUGUUGGCUUUCUAACCCGCACCACUUAUCGUGGUGGGAGACAGUGUCAGGUGGGCAGUUUGACUGGGGCGGUCGCCUCCUAAAAGGUAACGGAGGCGCUCAAAGGUUCCCUCAGAAUGGUUGGAAAUCAUUCAUAGAGUGUAAAGGCAUAAGGGAGCUUGACUGCGAGACUUACAAGUCGAGCAGGGUCGAAAGACGGACUUAGUGAUCCGGUGGUUCCGCAUGGAAGGGCCAUCGCUCAACGGAUAAAAGCUACCCCGGGGAUAACAGGCUUAUCUCCCCCAAGAGUUCACAUCGACGGGGAGGUUUGGCACCUCGAUGUCGGCUCAUCGCAUCCUGGGGCUGUAGUCGGUCCCAAGGGUUGGGCUGUUCGCCCAUUAAAGCGGUACGCGAGCUGGGUUCAGAACGUCGUGAGACAGUUCGGUCCCUAUCCGUCGUGGGCGUAGGAAAUUUGAGAGGAGCUGUCCUUAGUACGAGAGGACCGGGAUGGACAUACCUCUGGUGUACCAGUUGUCGUGCCAACGGCAUAGCUGGGUAGCUAUGUAUGGACGGGAUAAGUGCUGAAAGCAUCUAAGCAUGAAGCCCCCCUCAAGAUGAGAUUUCCCAACUUCGGUUAUAAGAUCCCUCAAAGAUGAUGAGGUUAAUAGGUUCGAGGUGGAAGCGUGGUGACACGUGGAGCUGACGAAUACUAAUCGAUCGAAGACUUAAUCAA